RNAcentral lists this ribosomal RNA (525 nucleotides) under uncultured bacterium. RNAcentral describes it as "bacterial SSU rRNA". It matches the Rfam family "Bacterial small subunit ribosomal RNA", at positions 348 to 863 of the family's 1533-position model. The record is from RNAcentral.
ACCACAGUAGGGAAUAUUGCGCAAUGGGGGAAACCCUGACGCAGCAAUGCCACGUGAGUGAGGAAGGCCUUCGGGUUGUAAAGCUCUGUCCUAUAGGAAGAACGGCCAUAUGGUUAAUACCCAUUUGGUUUGACGGUACUAUAGAAGAAAGCACCGGCUAACUCCGUGCCAGCAGCCGCGGUAAUACGGAGGGUGCAAGCGUUGUUUGGAUUUACUGGGCGUAAAGCGCGCGCAGGCGGAUUGGCAAGUCAGAUGUGAAAUCUCGGGGCUUAACCCCGAAACUGCGUCUGAAACUGCUAGUCUAGAGUCUCAUAGGGGGCAGGGGAAUUUCACGUGUAGGGGUAAAAUCCGUAGAGAUGUGAAGGAACACCGGUGGCGAAGGCGCCUGCCUGGAUGAGUACUGACGCUGAGGCGCGAAAGCGUGGGGAGCAAACAGGAUUAGAUACCCUGGUAGUCCACGCCGUAAACGAUGAGUACUAGCUAUUGGAGGUAUUGACUCCUUCAGUGGCGCAGCUAACGCAUUAA